Molecule: ribosomal RNA, 252 nt
Filed under: uncultured bacterium
Lineage: Bacteria
Description: partial 16S ribosomal RNA
Rfam family: Bacterial small subunit ribosomal RNA
Source: RNAcentral
UACGGGGGGAGCAAGCGUUGUUCGGAUUUACUGGGCGUAAAGGGCUCGUAGGUGGCCAACUAAGUCAGACGUGAAAUCCCUCGGCUUAACCGAGGAACUGCGUCUGAUACUGGAUGGCUUGAGUUUGGGAGAGGGAUGCGGAAUUCCAGGUGUAGCGGUGAAAUGCGUAGAUAUCUGGAGGAACACCGGUGGCAGAGGCGCAUCCUGGACCAACACUGACGCUGAACAGCGAAAGCCAGGGGAGCAAACGGG